This is a small nuclear RNA of Podarcis muralis (Common wall lizard), 145 nucleotides long. Its record names the gene U2. It matches the Rfam family "U2 spliceosomal RNA". Rfam says of the family: U2 is a small nuclear RNA (snRNA) component of the spliceosome (involved in pre-mRNA splicing). Complementary binding between U2 snRNA (in an area lying towards the 5' end but 3' to hairpin I) and the branchpoint sequence (BPS) of the intron results the bulging out of an unpaired adenosine, on the BPS, which initiates a nucleophilic attack at the intronic 5' splice site, thus starting the first of two transesterification reactions that mediate splicing. NCBI's taxonomy places the organism in Eukaryota, Metazoa, Chordata, Lepidosauria, Squamata, Lacertidae. The record is from Ensembl.
AUCGCUUCUCGGCCUUUUGGCUAAGAUCAAGUGUAGAACUAAUAAAGUCUAUUUAUUGAAGCUACUGCUGGUACCUUAUCAACCUGUCAGUGGUGGCUUGUGAUCUGUUUGUGGCUUAUAUAGUGCACAGCAUAGCACAGUUUUC